AUGGAGGGGAAGAAGAAGGCGAGAGUGAAGGCUGCGGCCGUCUGCGUGCUCCUCGCCGUCCUGCUGUCGUCGGCGCAGCAGCUGCCGACGGCCGACGCGGCGUCGGCGUUCUGCAAAUGCUACGUGAGCUGCUACUCCGACUGCAGGCUGAGGCACCCCCGGCUGUUCUGCAAGCCGCUCUGCGGCAUGGUGUGCGCCCUGGGCGGCCAGAUUGGCGGCGGGUGCCCGGGUGUCUGCGGGGAGGCCUCGGGCUGCGUCGUCGACGGCGAGUCAGACGCUGCUGAUGCUGAUGCGGCGGCGACCUGCGCGGAGGAUUGCCGCAAGAUCCUCAAGGCCAUGCACGGUUAG
This 348-nucleotide ribosomal RNA is filed under the name Triticum aestivum (bread wheat). RNAcentral describes it as "partial small subunit ribosomal RNA". The record is from RNAcentral. Lineage: Eukaryota; Viridiplantae; Streptophyta; Magnoliopsida; Poales; Poaceae.